CGUGAUCUUUUUUUUUUAGAGUUCCCAGUUGUUUUGGAACGCGGCAUUAAGGCGUUUCCGUGUGAAUGUCGUCGCGAUGUAGGUGUUUUCCAGAGCGAUCAUUAACGCAGAACACACACCUUUGGGCUCUUGAAGGGACAUAUUCAUUAUCUCAGACAAGAUGGUUUUGGUUAUUCAGGGAUUGGCUAUCGGGGGCUUUAACAUCGGUCUGCUGGUAGUGUCAACUAAAGCUCUCAUCGUUAUUGGAAUUUUCGUUGUUGUAGGAACUGCAACAUACUACCUUGCCAAAUCGCUUUAUGAGAAACAGAAGGCGGCUUAAACCUCAGCAACAUGACUAACGACUGGAGAGGAGCCAGAGGUUGAUUAACUCCACGACUUACUGUCUCUCUUUACUGCUAUCUUUACUGCUCUCUUUACUGCUCUGUGGGUUUUUACAAUGAGUUGUAAAGGGAAAUUGUCUAUAUGCUCUUGAGUAAGGCACUAAUCCAGUGACUUACAAGAGCAUUUAGGGUCAAGAGCUUCUGCUAAAUGUCUAAAAUAUAAAUAUGACAUCAAUUUCAGUGCACAUGUCUACCCACAAUGGAUAGAGUGGACCAAUGAAUCCAGCUGUUUAUUAGAUGAACAAAAAAAACAUGUAUCACCUGUUCAUAUUGUCCUUUUCAAUUGUUUCCCGUGUCUAUCAAGACAGUUAAACAACCUAAAAGUUCAUUAUAAUUGUAAUGUGUGGCAAUUAAAUGUAUUCAUCCCUGA
Molecule: long non-coding RNA, 750 nt
Organism: Oncorhynchus tshawytscha (Chinook salmon)
Lineage: Eukaryota; Metazoa; Chordata; Actinopteri; Salmoniformes; Salmonidae
Exons: 3
Source: RefSeq, a predicted model, not a curated record